RNAcentral lists this ribosomal RNA (238 nucleotides) under uncultured bacterium. Its description in RNAcentral is "partial 16S ribosomal RNA". It matches the Rfam family "Bacterial small subunit ribosomal RNA", at positions 96 to 334 of the family's 1533-position model. The record is from RNAcentral.
CGGCGAACGGGUGAGUAACACGUGGGUGACCUGCCCUCCACUCUGGGAUAAGCCUUGGAAACGAGGUCUAAUACCGGAUAUGACCUCCUACUGCAUGGUGGGUGGUGGAAAGCGUUUAGUGGUGGGGGAUGGACCCGCGGCCUAUCAGCUUGUUGGUGGGGUAAUGGCCUACCAAGGCGACGACGGGUAGCCGGCCUGAGAGGGCGACCGGCCACACUGGGACUGAGACACGGCCCAG